RNAcentral lists this ribosomal RNA (289 nucleotides) under uncultured bacterium. Its description in RNAcentral is "partial 16S ribosomal RNA". It matches the Rfam family "Bacterial small subunit ribosomal RNA", at positions 334 to 640 of the family's 1533-position model. The record is from RNAcentral.
UAGUCCUACGGGGGGCAGCAGUGGGGAAUAUUGCACAAUGGGGGGAACCCUGAUGCAGCGACGCCGCGUGGGUGAAGGAGUAUUUCGGUAUGUAAAGCCCUAUCAGCAGGGAAGAACAAUGACGGUACCUGACUAAGAAGCACCGGCUAAAUACGUGCCAGCAGCCGCGGUAAUACGUAUGGUGCAAGCGUUAUCCGGAUUUAUUGGGUUUAAAGGGUGCGCAGGCGGCGUGUCAAGUCAGCGGUAAAAUGUCGGGGCUCAACCCCGGCCGGCCGUUGAAACUGGCGUG